ACGAACGCUGGCGGCGUGCUUAACCCAUGCAAGUCGAACGGAAAGGCCCCUUUGGGGGUCCUCGAGUGGCGAACGGGUGAGUAACACGUGAGUAACCUGCCCUUGACUUCGGGAUAACUUCAGGAAACUGGGGCUAAUACCGGAUAGGAAUCCUUGCUGCAUGGUGGGGGUUGGAAAGCUUCGGCGGUUUUGGAUGGACUCGCGGCUUAUCAGCUUGUUGGUGGGGUAGUGGCUUACCAAGGCUUUGACGGGUAGCCGGCCUGAGAGGGCGACCGGCCACAUUGGGACUGAGAUACGGCCCAGACUCCUACGGGAGGCAGCAGUGGGGAAUAUUGCACAAUGGGCGGAAGCCUGAUGCAGCAACGCCGCGUGCGGGAUGACGGCCUUCGGGCUGUAAACCGCUUUCAGCAGGGGCGAAGCUUGUGGUGACGGUACCUGCAGAAGAAGCACCGGCUAACUACGUG
Molecule: ribosomal RNA, 464 nt
Filed under: uncultured bacterium
Lineage: Bacteria
Description: partial 16S ribosomal RNA
Rfam family: Bacterial small subunit ribosomal RNA
Source: RNAcentral